This 282-nucleotide long non-coding RNA is filed under the name Daucus carota (carrot). RNAcentral's name for it is "long non-coding RNA (DCAR_LNC001619)". The record is from RNAcentral. Lineage: Eukaryota; Viridiplantae; Streptophyta; Magnoliopsida; Apiales; Apiaceae.
AGAAGAUAAAGUUGUGAAGAGCAGACUCCAUCAAUGGCUGAGAUGAGGCCACGUUGAUCACUACAAGGAUCAAAUACAGCUUAUGAAUGAAGUUCUUGAAGCUUAGUCAAGUGGGUUUUGUGAGUUUUAUAUAAAUAUUUGGACAGAAUGAAGAUGAGGGUUUGGCAAUUCAAGAAGAUGCAGAGAUAAAAAAAAAAUAUUGAGAGAGAGAGAGGGAGAGAUACAGGGAGAGAGAGAGAGAGAUGUAUUAUUAAAUGUAAUUAAGUUGACGUGGCAUGUUUU